CCUACGGGAGGCAGCAGUGGGGAAUUUUGGACAAUGGGCGCAAGCCUGAUCCAGCAAUGCCGCGUGAGUGAAGAAGGCCUUCGGGUUGUAAAGCUCUUUUGUCAGGGAAGAAACGGUGGAGGCUAAUAUCCUUUGCUAAUGACGGUACCUGAAGAAUAAGCACCGGCUAACUACGUGCCAGCAGCCGCGGUAAUACGUAGGGUGCAAGCGUUAAUCGGAAUUACUGGGCGUAAAGCGUGCGCAGGCGGUUUUGUAAGUUUGUCGUGAAAUCCCCGGGCUCAACCUGGGAAUGGCGAUGAAGACUGCAAGGCUAGAAUCUGGCAGAGGGGGGUAGAAUUCCACGUGUAGCAGUGAAAUGCGUAGAGAUGUGGAGGAACACCGAUGGCGAAGGCAGCCCCCUGGGUCAAGAUUGACGCUCAUGCACGAAAGCGUGGGGAGCAAACAGGAUUAGAUACCCUGGUAGUCCACGCCCUAAACGAUGUCUACUAGUUGUCGGGUUUUAAUUAACUUGGUAACGCAGCUAACGCGUGAAGUAGACCGCCUGGGGAGUACGGUCGCAAGNUUAAAACUCAAAUGAAUUGACGGCUGAGAGNGCGAGACGACGACGAGGGAGGAGG
RNAcentral lists this ribosomal RNA (617 nucleotides) under uncultured bacterium. RNAcentral's name for it is "bacterial SSU rRNA". It matches the Rfam family "Bacterial small subunit ribosomal RNA", at positions 338 to 948 of the family's 1533-position model. The record is from RNAcentral.